This 789-nucleotide ribosomal RNA is filed under the name uncultured bacterium. RNAcentral describes it as "bacterial SSU rRNA". It matches the Rfam family "Bacterial small subunit ribosomal RNA", at positions 8 to 798 of the family's 1533-position model. The record is from RNAcentral.
AGAGUUUGAUCAUGGCUCAGGACGAACGCUGGCGGCGUGCUUAACACAUGCAAGUCGAACGGAAAGGCCCCUUCGGGGGUACUCGAGUGGCGAACGGGUGAGUAACACGUGGGUGAUCUGCCCUGCACUUUGGGAUAAGCCUGGGAAACUGGGUCUAAUACCGAAUAGGACCGCAUGCUCCAUGGUGUGUGGUGGAAAGCUUUUGCAGUGUGGGAUGGGCCCGCGGCCUAUCAGCUUGUUGGUGGGGUAAUGGCCUACCAAGGCGACGACGGGUAGCCGGCCUGAGAGGGUGUCCGGCCACACUGGGACUGAGAUACGGCCCAGACUCCUACGGGAGGCAGCAGUGGGGAAUAUUGCACAAUGGGCGCAAGCCUGAUGCAGCGACGCCGCGUGGGGGAUGACGGCCUUCGGGUUGUAAACCUCUUUCAGUAUCGGCGAAGCUCCAGGAUUUUUCUUGGGGUGACGGUAGGUACAGAAGAAGCACCGGCCAACUACGUGCCAGCAGCCGCGGUAAUACGUAGGGUGCGAGCGUUGUUCGGAAUUACUGGGCGUAAAGAGCUCGUAGGUGGUUUGUCACGUUGUCUGUGAAAACUCACAGCUUAACUGUGGGCGUGCGGGCGAUACGGGCAGACUGGAGUACUGUAGGGGAGACUGGAAUUCCUGGUGUAGCGGUGGAAUGCGCAGAUAUCAGGAGGAACACCGGUGGCGAAGGCGGGUCUCCGGGCAGUAACUGACGCUGAGGAGCGAAAGCGUGGGGAGCGAACAGGAUUAGAUACCCUGGUAGUCCAA